RNAcentral lists this ribosomal RNA (252 nucleotides) under uncultured bacterium. RNAcentral's name for it is "partial 16S ribosomal RNA". It matches the Rfam family "Bacterial small subunit ribosomal RNA", at positions 57 to 305 of the family's 1533-position model. The record is from RNAcentral.
GCAAGUCGAACGCGAAAGUUUUCUUCGGAAAACGAGUAGAGUGGCGCACGGGUGAGUAACGCGUAAGUAAUCUACCCUGGUAUAUGGGAUAACCCACCGAAAGGUGAGCUAAUACCGGAUACGUUGAUUUAUCAAGAAAGGUGGCCUCUUCAUGAAUGCUACUGUGCUAGGAGGAGCUUGCGUACCAUUAGCUAGUUGGUAGGGUAAUGGCCUACCAAGGCGACGAUGGUUAGCGGGUCUGAGAGGAUGAUC